CCAAUAGCGUAUAUUAAAGUUGUUGCAGUUAAAAAGCUCGUAGUUGAACUUCGGGGUCUACCCAUAGGUCAGGCUUAAUUGUCUGCACUGGUGAGAUGGAUCUCUACCUUCUGAGGAACUUUCAUGCCAUUUAUUUGGUGUGAUGGGAAAUCAGGACUGUUACUUUGAAAAAAUUAGAGUGUUUAAAGCAGACUAUCGUCUGAAUACAUUAGCAUGGAAUAAUGAAAUAGGAAGGACUGAUUCUAUUUCGUUGGUUUCUAGGAUCACCGUAAUGAUUAAUAGGGAUAGUUGGGGGCAUUAGUAUUCAAUUGUCAGAGGUGAAAUUCUUGGAUUUAUUGAAGACUAACUACUGCGAAAGCAUUUGCCAAGGAUGUUUUCAUUAAUCAAGAACGAAAGUUAGGGGAUCGAAGACGAUCAGAUACCGUCGUAGUCUUAACCAUAAACUAUGCCGACUAGGGAUCGGAUGAUGUUAUUUUUAAUGACUCAUUCGGCGCCUUACG
RNAcentral lists this unclassified non-coding RNA (500 nucleotides) under uncultured Diversispora. RNAcentral describes it as "SSU rRNA". It matches the Rfam family "Eukaryotic small subunit ribosomal RNA", at positions 591 to 1092 of the family's 1831-position model. Lineage: Eukaryota; Fungi; Glomeromycota; Glomeromycetes; Diversisporales; Diversisporaceae. The record is from RNAcentral.